This 323-nucleotide long non-coding RNA is filed under the name Erythranthe guttata (spotted monkey flower). RNAcentral's name for it is "long non-coding RNA (EGUT_LNC001334)". Lineage: Eukaryota; Viridiplantae; Streptophyta; Magnoliopsida; Lamiales; Phrymaceae. The record is from RNAcentral.
UUUUUAUAUAUUUGUUAGCUCAACGGUUUGAUUACUUAUAUAAUAUCCUUUCCUUUUGUUUAAAUUUAGUUGAAUUUGAUUCUGAUUGUAUCUAUACACUCUUUGUUGAAGAUUUUUGUUGAAGGUUGAAGUUUUAUUUAAUCUAUAUUUUCUUCGGGUUGCUAACUCAACGGUAGAGUACUCGGCUUUUAAGUGCGGCUAGAAUAUUUUACACAUUUGGAUGAAGUGAGGAAUUCAUCCAUAUCAUUGGUAAAGUUUGGAAGACCGCGACUAAUCCUGCAAAGGAAUAAUGAAAAAAAGAGCAUGUCGUAUCAAUGGAGAGU